This 633-nucleotide ribosomal RNA is filed under the name Triticum aestivum (bread wheat). RNAcentral's name for it is "partial small subunit ribosomal RNA". Lineage: Eukaryota; Viridiplantae; Streptophyta; Magnoliopsida; Poales; Poaceae. The record is from RNAcentral.
AUGUCAUGGUUCUACGGAAGCGCUAAAGACAUACCCUACACGACACAAGACAUUGCUAAUCAACGAGCUAAGUUCCGCUUAGAGCACCGCCACAAGGACAUUGGGAGCACAAUUGCAUACUUCCAAGAGAGGGCCAAAGAUUCAUAUUUCUACUGGAGAAUCAAACUUGAUGAUGAGGACAGGGUUGAGAACUUGUUCUGGAUAGAUGGCGCAUCACGCAGGGCAUAUGCAAAGUGUAAUGACUGUUUGUCGUUUGACACGACAUACAUGGCAAACAUGUACAAGAUGCCGUGUGAACCAUUCAUUGGAAUUAAUAACCAUGGUCAAUCCAUCCAGUUUGGGUGUGGCUUCGUUCGAAACGAACUAAAGGAAAACUUUGCGUGGCUGUUUAACACAUUCCUCCAUGCAAUGGGUGGUGUUGCCCCUAAAAACAUCACCACAGACCAGGACUUUGCAAUGAGGAGUGCGAUCGACGAGGUCUUCUUGAACAUAAUACACAGAAAUUGCCGCUGGCAUAUAAUGAAGAAGGCGCAUGAGAAACUUGGAAAACUUAUGGCUGAUGAUAAACCACUAAACAAAGCGUUCAAAGACUGUGUCGACAACAGCUUGACUGGUACGUACCUAAACUGUUGA